GUGCUCGCUUCGGCAGCAACAUAUACUAAAAUUGGAAUAAUACAGAGAUUAGCAUGGCCCCUGUGCAAGGAUGACAUGCAAAUUCGUGAAGUGUUCCAUUAAAAA
Gorilla gorilla gorilla (western lowland gorilla) is the source of this 105-nucleotide small nuclear RNA. The record is from Ensembl. NCBI's taxonomy places the organism in Eukaryota, Metazoa, Chordata, Mammalia, Primates, Hominidae.